UUGACCUCGGAUCAGGCAGGGAUACCCGCUGAACUUAAGCAUAUCAAUAAGCGGAGGAAAAGAAACCAACAGGGAUUGCCUCAGUAACGGCGAGUGAAGCGGCAACAGCUCAAAUUUGAAAUCUGGCUCUUUUAGGGUCCGAGUUGUAAUUUGUAGAGGAUGCUUCGGCGUCGGCUCCGGUCUAAGUUCCUUGGAACAGGACGUCAUAGAGGGUGAGAAUCCCGUAUGUGAUCGGUUGCCCUUGCCAUGUGAAGCUCCUUCGACGAGUCGAGUUGUUUGGGAAUGCAGCUCUAAAUGGGAGGUAAAUUUCUUCUAAAGCUAAAUACUGGCCAGAGACCGAUAGCGCACAAGUAGAGUGAUCGAAAGAUGAAAAGCACUUUGGAAAGAGAGUCAAAAAGUACGUGAAAUUGUGAAAGGGAAGCGCUUGCACCAGACCUGCCUGCAGUGCUCAUCCGGGCUUUUGCCCGGUGCACUCUUCUGCUGU
Molecule: ribosomal RNA, 484 nt
Filed under: uncultured Cenococcum
Lineage: Eukaryota; Fungi; Ascomycota; Dothideomycetes; Gloniales; Gloniaceae
Description: eukaryotic LSU rRNA
Rfam family: Eukaryotic large subunit ribosomal RNA
Source: RNAcentral